This 379-nucleotide ribosomal RNA is filed under the name uncultured eukaryote. Its description in RNAcentral is "partial 18S ribosomal RNA". It matches the Rfam family "Eukaryotic small subunit ribosomal RNA", at positions 592 to 975 of the family's 1831-position model. The record is from RNAcentral.
CAAUAGCGUAUAUUAAAGUUGUUGCGGUUAAAAAGCUCGUAGUUGGAUUUCUGCUGAGAACGACCGGUCCGCCCUUUGGGUGUGUAUCUGGCUCUUUCUUGGCAUCUUCUUGGUGAACGUUGCUGCACUUGACUGUGUGGAGCGCUACCCAGGACUUUUACUUUGAGGAAAAUAGAGUGUUCACGGCAGGCAAUCGCCCUGAAUAUAUUAGCAUGGAAUAAUAAAAUAGGAUCUUGGUUCUAUUUUGUUGGUUUCUAGAACGAAGAUAAUGAUUAAUAGGGACAAUUGGGGGCAUUCGUAUUAACGCGUCAGAGGUGGAAUUCUUGGAUUGCGUUACGACGAACUACUGCGAAAGCAUUUGCCAAGGAUGUUUNCAUUG